CUCCAAGGCAACGCUGCACCGCUGGCACCAACAGCCACCCAUAAACUCCUCCUGUGCCCAUGCUGAAUCCCAGCAAGGACCGGAGACCUCACCCAGGGGACUUAGGGCCAACAGGAUAAGGAUUUGAUGGCCAAUUCAGAUGUGGCCCUCCACCAGUUAGGACUGAUGCAGUGAUGAGUGCCUGAUCCGUGACUGUAAGAUUUCCCCAUCAGACCAUUGAAGCCGUAUGAAUGGUGUACAUUUGCAGCUGUGAAUCCGGGGAAGAUGGUGCAGUUGGCACUGUUAUAUAAACACCUUGAACAGAAUGCACGACUGCUGACAGGUUUACCUAACAAAAUGAAAACACGAUGAAAAUCUUCAUUUGUUUCCAAGUAAAAGGAAAUGUUCCCACGUGUUUGGACAUCUGUACACCCGACAUGUGGCAGUUAUUGUGCUGAGCAAUCAUUGCACUUAACAUGCUCUGGGAAAUUAAGAUUUUCAAAAAUUCAAUUCCUUGCAUUCUUCUAGAAAACAAGACUGCGCAGCCGGCCACGAAUCAAUCCCUUCUAAAUAUAUUGCUGUUGUUUGAUUACAAAUAACAUACUUAUCAAUGUGUCACUCAUCCUGUGAUGCUGAAGGAUGUCGAGUUCUGUGUAUGGGAAAAAAGUAUUUAUGCCUCAUUCAUAAAAAAAUUGUUGAUGAAGCAUUGAAUGAAAUCAUCAUCAAUGUGUAUGUCUAUGUCAGUGAUUAUAUUGGGAAAGAAGACACGUCUUUAAUGUAGCUUAUUUAUUCAAACUACUGGAUCUAGAUAGGAGGACCAUUCAAAAUCUUGGACAAUUAUAGGAUCCAUUGUGUGGAAUGUUUGGGACAUAUGGUUUCUGCAUACGGUUAUUUGUUCAUAUUGACUGUUAAGCCCCAAAAAAAUGUGCUUAAUUGCAUAAAAA
This is a long non-coding RNA of Hyla sarda, 923 nucleotides long. RefSeq lists it as uncharacterized. NCBI's taxonomy places the organism in Eukaryota, Metazoa, Chordata, Amphibia, Anura, Hylidae. The record is from RefSeq and is a predicted model, not a curated record. The transcript has 3 exons.